RNAcentral lists this ribosomal RNA (253 nucleotides) under uncultured bacterium. Its description in RNAcentral is "partial 16S ribosomal RNA". It matches the Rfam family "Bacterial small subunit ribosomal RNA", at positions 524 to 776 of the family's 1533-position model. The record is from RNAcentral.
UACAGAGGUCUCAAGCGUUGUUCGGAUUCAUUGGGCGUAAAGGGUGCGUAGGUGGCGCGCUAAGUCAGGUGUGAAAUUUCGGAGCUUAACUCCGAAACUGCAUUUGAUACUGGCGUGCUUGAGGACUGGAGAGGAGACUGGAAUUCACGGUGUAGCAGUGAAAUGCGUAGAUAUCAGGAGGAACACCGAUGGCGAAGGCAGGUCUCUGGGCUGACACUGACGCUCAUGCACGAAAGCGUGGGGAGCAAACAGG